CCUACCGGGAGGCUGCAGUGGGGAAUAUUGGACAAUGGGCGAAAGCCUGAUCCAGCCAUGCCGCGUGUGUGAAGAAGGCCUUCGGGUUGUAAAGCACUUUCAGUGGGGAAGAAAGCCUUGGGGCUAAUACCCUCGAGGAAGGACAUCACCCACAGAAGAAGCACCGGCUAACUCCGUGCCAGCAGCCGCGGUAAUACGGAGGGUGCGAGCGUUAAUCGGAAUUACUGGGCGUAAAGCGCGCGUAGGCGGUCUGAUAAGCCGGUUGUGAAAGCCCCGGGCUCAACCUGGGAACGGCAUCCGGAACUGUCAGGCUAGAGUGCAGGAGAGGAAGGUAGAAUUCCCGGUGUAGCGGUGAAAUGCGUAGAGAUCGGGAGGAAUACCAGUGGCGAAGGCGGCCUUCUGGACUGACACUGACGCUGAGGUGCGAAAGCGUGGGUAGCAAACAGGAUUAGAUACCCUAGUAGUC
This 466-nucleotide ribosomal RNA is filed under the name Vreelandella stevensii. Its description in RNAcentral is "partial 16S ribosomal RNA". It matches the Rfam family "Bacterial small subunit ribosomal RNA", at positions 338 to 795 of the family's 1533-position model. Lineage: Bacteria; Pseudomonadati; Pseudomonadota; Gammaproteobacteria; Oceanospirillales; Halomonadaceae. The record is from RNAcentral.